GGGCUCACACAAGCGGUGGAGCAUGUGGCUUAAUUCGAGGCUACGCGAAGAACCUUAUCCUGGGCUUGACAUGUGCGAAAGCGCUAGGGAGUAGGGUGCGGAAACGUUACCCCAACGGUAUCCAGUCCGGAACCUAGUACAGGUGCUGCAUGGCUGUCGUCAGCUCGUGUCGUGAGAUGUUGGGUUAAGUCCCGUAACGAGCGAAACCCUUGUUUCCAGUUGCCAGCGGGUCAUGCCGGGGACUCUGGAAAGACUGCCGGUGUUAAACCGGAGGAAGGUGGGGAUGACGUCAAGUCCUCAUGGCCUUUAUGCCCAGGGCUGCACACGUGCUACAAUGGCGUGGACAGAGGGACGCAAACCCGCGAGGGGGAGCUAAUCCCAAAAAGCACGCCCCAGUUCAGAUUGCAGGCUGCAACUCGCCUGCAUGAAGUUGGAAUCGCUAGUAAUCGCAGGUCAGCAACACUGCGGUGAAUGUGUUCCUGAGCCUU
This 488-nucleotide ribosomal RNA is filed under the name uncultured bacterium. RNAcentral's name for it is "bacterial SSU rRNA". It matches the Rfam family "Bacterial small subunit ribosomal RNA", at positions 917 to 1382 of the family's 1533-position model. The record is from RNAcentral.